Molecule: ribosomal RNA, 501 nt
Filed under: uncultured bacterium
Lineage: Bacteria
Description: partial 16S ribosomal RNA
Rfam family: Bacterial small subunit ribosomal RNA
Source: RNAcentral
AUUGAACGCUGGCGGCAGGCUUAACACAAGCAAGUCGAGCGGAGAUGAGGUGCUUGCACCUUAUCUUAGCGGCGGACGGGUGAGUAAUGCUUAGGAAUCUGCCUAUUAGUGGGGGACAACAUUCCGAAAGGAAUGCUAAUACCGCAUACGCCCUACGGGGGAAAGCGGGGGAUCUUCGGACCUUGCGCUAAUAGAUGAGCCUAAGUCGGAUUAGCUAGUUGGUGGGGUAAAGGCCUACCAAGGCGACGAUCUGUAGCGGGUCUGAGAGGAUGAUCCGCCACACUGGGACUGAGACACGGCCCAGACUCCUACGGGAGGCAGCAGUGGGGAAUAUUGGACAAUGGGCGGAAGCCUGAUCUAGCCAUGCCGCGUGUGUGAAGAAGGCCUUUUGGUUGUAAAGCACUUUAAGCGAGGAGGAGGCUACCUGGAUUAAUACUCUAGGAUAGUGGACGUUACUCGCAGAAUAAGCACCGGCUAACUCUGUGCCAGCCGCCGCAGUAA